This 30-nucleotide non-coding RNA is filed under the name Rattus norvegicus (Norway rat). The record is from RNAcentral. Lineage: Eukaryota; Metazoa; Chordata; Mammalia; Rodentia; Muridae.
UGUUCUUCGCUACGACAACUACAAGAAACA